This 744-nucleotide ribosomal RNA is filed under the name Kudoa hirsuta. RNAcentral's name for it is "partial 28S ribosomal RNA". It matches the Rfam family "Eukaryotic large subunit ribosomal RNA", at positions 34 to 644 of the family's 3401-position model. Lineage: Eukaryota; Metazoa; Cnidaria; Myxozoa; Multivalvulida; Kudoidae. The record is from RNAcentral.
UUAAGCAUAUCAGUAAGCAGAGGAAAAGAAAACAACUGUGAUUCCCUUAGUAACUGCGAGUGAAGCGGGAUAAGCCCAUCGUUUAAUCUUCCCGGACUAUGGACGGGACGAAAUGUAACGGUAUGGAUAGGUUCUCUACCAACAAUGGCCGGUCAAAGUCCUCCGGAUUGAGGUGCCAGAGAGGGUGACAGCCCCGUGUGUGACUGGACAGAGUUGGGUAUGUGACCGAUUCCGAGAGUCGGGUUGUUUGGGACUGCAACCUAAAGCAGGUGGUAAACUCCACCCAAGGCUAAAUAUUGACACGAAACCGAUAGCGAACAAGUACUGUGAAGGAAAGUUGAAAAGAACUCUGAAAAGAGAGUUAAAAGUACGUGAAACCGCUAACGGGGAAGCGGAAGGCAGUGUCGAGAUUGAGUGAGUGAGUCGUGUCAAGCGUGUAUGGUGUGUCGUGUGGCGGUGUGUAAUGUGUGCUUGGAACGGCUAGCUUUGCUCGAUGCGUCAGGACUAUCGGUGUGCUGCGGUUCAUCGUGGGCAUGGCUUCUACGACGUUUGGACCUCGGUCCUACUUUGUGGUUGCGGCCGGCGACAAAGUGGUGCGCUGAUAUGUGUGUGAUGGAGCGGUGGUGAUGUAGUGUCGGUUGGCGCGGCGCGGUGCUUCGUUCUGGUCACAGUGUGGCUACGUGCGGAGAAGUCGCGUUGUGGGUCAACAACCAGUGCUAGCUCCUGACGUGAUACCUAACUUUC